AACGAACGCUGGCGGCAUGCCUAACACAUGCAAGUCGAACGAAGGCUUCGGCCUUAGUGGCGCACGGGUGCGUAACGCGUGGGAACCUGCCCCUCGGUUCGGAAUAACAGUUAGAAAUGACUGCUAAUACCGGAUGAUGACUUCGGUCCAAAGAUUUAUCGCCGAGGGAUGGGCCCGCGUAGGAUUAGCUAGUUGGUGGGGUAAAGGCCUACCAAGACGACGAUCCUUAGCUGGUCUGAGAGGAUGAUCAGCCACACUGGGACUGAGACACGGCCCAGACUCCUACGGGAGGCAGCAGUGGGGAAUAUUGGACAAUGGGCGAAAGCCUGAUCCAGCAAUGCCGCGUGAGUGAUGAAGGCCUUAGGGUUGUAAAGCUCUUUACCAGGGAUGAUAAUGACAGUACCUGGAGAAUAAGCUCCGGCUAACUCCGUG
RNAcentral lists this ribosomal RNA (432 nucleotides) under uncultured bacterium. RNAcentral describes it as "bacterial SSU rRNA". It matches the Rfam family "Bacterial small subunit ribosomal RNA", at positions 29 to 507 of the family's 1533-position model. The record is from RNAcentral.